UAUCUAGUAAAUUCAGUGUGCUCCAGUUAUGUUACAAAUGUAUGGAAUAUGACAUUACAAUAGAAAGUGGUUUAAACCUUAAUUCUGGAAUACAAUAUGUGUCUAUAAUGGGCACUGUAGGAUAGACAAAUACAAUAUAUUUAUUUUUAGGAUAAAGAUUGGAUAAAUAUGGGAAGAAUAUCUAGACAAAUGUUGUAGUAAAAAAUCACAUUACUGGAUAGUUCUAAAGUUGCAGCACUGAGCAUUGUAACCCUAUGAAAAGCAACUGUUACAGCUGCUGCACAAUCCGACAUGUUAUCUUUGGAUUUUACAACCAUGUGGUGAAGUUUUUAAUGAUAUAAUCAAGCUUCAGCCCCCCAACAGGAGUGAUUUAUGUAUUCUUUAGAAGGUUUCUACACGGAGAAGAAACAUGGGGCAAGUUUAUAAGCAGUUUAUCUAUGGAACCUUUAAUUCUCCUGCUAAAGAAACUGGAAGGUGUGUUCUAAGUACUGUAUUUUGGAGUCCUGGAUUUGAUUUGCAGAACUGCCUGUUGCAACACUGCAAGAAUCUUUGAGGCUGCACUACAUCCCAUGUUACUGUUGAUCCAAAUUACACAUUACCUGAUCCAAAAUAAAACAAACAGAAAAGCAAACAAACAAAAUCAACCCUCCAACCAAAACUACAAACAUAUUUUUAACUAGUUUUAAAAUCUAUCAUUUCAGUGAUCGGAUUAAUAGAGUGAAACCUAAGCGUGACCAAGGGAGCACUAAACUAUGGCACAGGACAUGAACAAACAGAUGGAACUUUUAAAUCUGGUUCUGAUGCAACCAGAAGUGUUCAUGUAGCUCUAUCUCAAGCUAAUUAUCCAUCCUGCAUAUUAGAUGAAGUGAGGCCCUGAGGGAAAAAUAUACAAUUCUGUAAUUAAAGAGUAUAAUAAUGAAUCAAAAUAUAGUUUUUGUAG
Molecule: long non-coding RNA, 940 nt
Organism: Oxyura jamaicensis (ruddy duck)
Lineage: Eukaryota; Metazoa; Chordata; Aves; Anseriformes; Anatidae
Exons: 3
Source: RefSeq, a predicted model, not a curated record